UAYACCCUUCRGGCUUAGUGGCGCACGGGUGCGUAACGCGKGGGAAUCUGCCCUCAGGUACGGAAUAACAGCUAGAAAUGGCUGCUAAUACCGUAUGAUGUCUUCGGACCAAAGAUUUAUCGCCUGGGGAUGAGCCCGCGUUGGAUUASCUUGUUGGUGGGGUAAAGGCCUACCAAGGCGACGAUCCAUAGCUGGUCUGAGAGGAUGAUCAGCCACACUGGGACUGARACACGGCCCAGACUCCUACGGGAGGCASCAGUGGGGAAUAUUGRACAAUGGGCGCAAGCCUGAUCCAGCAAUGCCGCGUGAGUGAAGAAGGCCUUCGGGUUGUAAAGCUCUUUUACCCGGGAAGAUAAUGACUGUACCGGGAGAAUAAGCCCCGGCUAACUCCGUGCCAGCAGCCGCGGUAAA
RNAcentral lists this ribosomal RNA (411 nucleotides) under uncultured bacterium. RNAcentral's name for it is "bacterial SSU rRNA". The record is from RNAcentral.